UGGCGGGGAAACAUGGCUCCUUCCCUCGGGGGCUUAAGGCCUGAGGGAGAUGGUCUCCCUGACUGCAGAGAGAUGAGACCCCACCUAGAGAGAGGAGGAAGGGACACCAGGAAGAACGGAGGGAGGCCCAGCGGAGGAACAGAGGAAGGCACAGCCCGGCAAAGGCCUGGCAGCCGCAACGCCAAAUCUCAAGAGUGCUCCGAAGGGCUCUUACCGAGGGCCGUGCACGUUAGACGUUAGACCUGGCACUGCUCCUGGGGUUUCUGUCCUCGGGGCUGUUACAGGAGGGGGCCCACCACAAGGUCACAUUCUCCUCUCCUCUCUUUUUGACUUCAGAAUUACGCCAAAGACCCUUUCCAAUUUGACCGAGGAUGGCUCAACCCACCUACAGGACACAGGCCUCCUAUUGGCAACCGGAUGUGGCCGAAAGAGUCCUGAGCUGGGAGGUCAAGACCCAGUUCUAGCCUAGCCCCAAGCCCCAGUUUCCCUUUCUUUAAAAUGAGAGCGUUGAACAUGAGUCCCAAAUUCCCCUUGACUCUGACAUUGUAGGAUAUUUGGAGACUCUAGUGGUGGAAUAAAUCUCAGACACUGUAA
Microcebus murinus (gray mouse lemur) is the source of this 594-nucleotide non-coding RNA. The record is from RefSeq and is a predicted model, not a curated record. Lineage: Eukaryota; Metazoa; Chordata; Mammalia; Primates; Cheirogaleidae.